GUAAGUCUGCUGUCAAAGCGUGGAGCUCAACNCCAUUUCGGCAGUGGAAACUACGAGGCUUGAGUGUGGUAGGGGCAGAGGGAAUUCCCGGUGUAGCGGUGAAAUGCGUAGAUAUCGGGAAGAACACCAGUGGCGAAGGCGCUCUGCUGGGCCAUAACUGACGCUCAUGGACGAAAGCUAGGGGAGCGAAAGGGAUUAGAUACCCCUGUAGUCCUAGCCGUAAACGAUGAACACUAGGUGUCGGGGGAAUCGACCCCCUCGGUGUCGUAGCUAACGCGUUAAGUGUUCCGCCUGGGGAGUACGCACGCAAGUGUGAAACUCAAAGGAAUUGACGGGGGCCCGCACAAGCGGUGGAGUAUGUGGUUUAAUUCGAUGCAACGCGAAGAACCUUACCAGGGUUUGACAUCCUGCGAAUCCCUUGGAAACGAGGGAGUGCCUUCGGGAGCGCAGAGACAGGUGGUGCAUGGCUGUCGUCAGCUCGUGUCGUGAGAUGUUGGGUUAAGUCCCGCAACGAGCGCAACCCACGUCUUUAGUUGCCAGCAUUCAGUUGGGCACUCUAGAGAGACCGCCGGUGAUAAACCGGAGGAAGGUGUGGAUGACGUCAAGUCAUCAUGCCCCUUACAUCCUGGGCUACACACGUACUACAAUGCUACGGACAAAGGGCAGCAAACUCGCGAGAGCUAGCAAAUCCCAUAAACCGUGGCUCAGUUCAGAUCGUAGGCUGCAACUCGCCUACGUGAAGGAGGAAUCGCUAGUAAUCGCAGGUCAGCAUACUGCGGUGAAUACGUUCCCGGGCCUUGUACACACCGCCCGUCACACCAUGGAAGUUGGCCACGCCCGAAGUCGUUACUCCAACCCUUGUGGAGGAGGACGCCGAAGGUGGGGCUGAUGACUGGGGU
Molecule: ribosomal RNA, 899 nt
Filed under: uncultured bacterium
Lineage: Bacteria
Description: bacterial SSU rRNA
Rfam family: Bacterial small subunit ribosomal RNA
Source: RNAcentral